RNAcentral lists this ribosomal RNA (1209 nucleotides) under metagenome. Its description in RNAcentral is "bacterial SSU rRNA". It matches the Rfam family "Bacterial small subunit ribosomal RNA", at positions 8 to 1205 of the family's 1533-position model. The record is from RNAcentral.
AGAGUUUGAUCCUGGCUCAGAUUGAACGCUGGCGGCAUGCCUAACACAUGCAAGUCGAACGGCAGCACAGCAGUAGCAAUACUGUGGGUGGCGAGUGGCGGACGGGUGAGGAAUGCGUCGGAAUCUGCCCAGUUGUGGGGGAUAACUAGCCGAAAGGUCAGCUAAUACCGCAUACGACCGAGAGGUGAAAGCGGGGGACCGUAAGGCCUCGCGCGAUUGGAUGAGCCGACGCCGGAUUAGCUUGUUGGUGGGGUAAAGGCCUACCAAGGCGACGAUCCGUAGCUGGUCUGAGAGGGUGAUCAGCCACACUGGAACUGAGACACGGUCCAGACUCCUACGGGAGGCAGCAGUGGGGAAUAUUGGACAAUGGGCGCAAGCCUGAUCCAGCAAUGCCGCGUGUGUGAAGAAGGCCUUCGGGUUGUAAAGCACUUUUGUCCGGAACGAAAAGCGAUGGAUUAAUACUCUGUCGUGCUGACGGUACCGGGUGAAUAAGCACCGGCUAACUUCGUGCCAGCAGCCGCGGUAAUACGAAGGGUGCAAGCGUUAAUCGGAAUUACUGGGCGUAAAGCGUGCGUAGACGGCCUGUUAAGUCGGAUGUGAAAGCCCCGGGCUCAACCUGGGAAUGGCAUCCGAUACUGGUGGGCUAGAGUGCGGUAGAGGAGAGCGGAAUUCCCGGUGUAGCGGUGAAAUGCGUAGAGAUCGGGAGGAACAUCCGUGGCGAAGGCGGCUCUCUGGACCAGCACUGACGUUGAGGCACGAAAGCGUGGGGAGCAAACAGGAUUAGAUACCCUGGUAGUCCACGCCCUAAACGAUGUCGACUGGAUGUUGGGCACACUUUGGUGCUCAGUAUCGAAGCUAACGCGUUAAGUCGACCGCCUGGGGAGUAUGCGCGCAAGCGUGAAACUCAAAGGAAUUGACGGGGGCCCGCACAAGCGGUGGAGUAUGUGGUUUAAUUCGAUGCAACGCGAAGAACCUUACCUGGCCUUGACAUGUCUGGAAUCCUGCAGAGAUGCGGGAGUGCCUUCGGGAAUCAGAACACAGGUGCUGCAUGGCUGUCGUCAGCUCGUGUCGUGAGAUGUUGGGUUAAGUCCCGCAACGAGCGCAACCCUUGUCCUUAGUUGCCAGCGCGUAAUGGCGGGAACUCUAAGGAGACUGCCGGUGACAAACCGGAGGAAGGUGGGGAUGACGUCAAGUCAUCAUGGCCCUUAC